This 662-nucleotide ribosomal RNA is filed under the name uncultured bacterium. RNAcentral's name for it is "bacterial SSU rRNA". It matches the Rfam family "Bacterial small subunit ribosomal RNA", at positions 33 to 689 of the family's 1533-position model. The record is from RNAcentral.
ACGCUGGCGGCAGGCCUAACACAUGCAAGUCGAGCGGUAGAGAGAAGCUUGCUUCUCUUGAGAGCGGCGGACGGGUGAGUAAUGCCUAGGAAUCUGCCUGGUAGUGGGGGAUAACGUUCGGAAACGGACGCUAAUACCGCAUACGUCCUACGGGAGAAAGCAGGGGACCUUCGGGCCUUGCGCUAUCAGAUGAGCCUAGGUCGGAUUAGCUAGUUGGUGAGGUAAUGGCUCACCAAGGCGACGAUCCGUAACUGGUCUGAGAGGAUGAUCAGUCACACUGGAACUGAGACACGGUCCAGACUCCUACGGGAGGCAGCAGUGGGGAAUAUUGGACAAUGGGCGAAAGCCUGAUCCAGCCAUGCCGCGUGUGUGAAGAAGGUCUUCGGAUUGUAAAGCACUUUAAGUUGGGAGGAAGGGCAUUAACCUAAUACGUGAUUGUUUUGACGUUACCGACAGAAUAAAGCACCGGCUAACUCUGUGCCAGCAGCCGCGGUAAUACAGAGGGUGCAAGCGUUAAUCGGAAUUACUGGGCGUAAAGCGCGCGUAGGUGGUUAGUUAAGUUGGAUGUGAAAUCCCCGGGCUCAACCUGGGAACUGCAUUCAAAACUGACUGACUAGAGUAUGGUAGAGGGUGGUGGAAUUUCCUGUGUAGCGGUGAAAUGC